AAGUCGAGGGUAGAGGAAGCUUGCUUCCUUGAGACCGGCGCACGGUGCGUAACGCGUAUACAAUCUACUUUACANAGGGAUAGCCCAGAGAAAUUUGGAUUAAUACCUCAUUAGUAUUUUCGGAUCGCAUGAUUUGACUAUUAAAGUCACAACGGCAAAAAGAUGAGCAUGCGUCCCAUUAGCUAGUUGGUAAGGUAACGGCUUACCAAGGCUACGAUGGGUAGGGGUCCUGAGAGGGAGAUCCCCCACACUGGUACUGAGACACGGACCAGACUCCUACGGGAGGCAGCAGUGAGGAAUAUUGGACAAUGGGCGCAAGCCUGAUCCAGCCAUGCCGCGUGCAGGAUGACGGUCCUAUGGAUUGUAAACUGCUUUUAUACAGGAAGAAACACUCCGACGUGUCGGAGCUUGACGGUACUGUAAGAAUAAGGAUCGGCUAACUCCGUG
Molecule: ribosomal RNA, 447 nt
Filed under: uncultured bacterium
Lineage: Bacteria
Description: bacterial SSU rRNA
Rfam family: Bacterial small subunit ribosomal RNA
Source: RNAcentral